AUACGUAGGGGGUGAGCGUUGUCCGGAAUGAUUGGGCGUAAAGGGCGCGUAGGCGGCCUGUUAAGUCUGGAGUGAAAGUCCUGUUUUCAAGCUGGGAAUUGCUUUGGAUACUGAUGGGCUUGAGUGCAGGAGAGGUUAUCGGAAUUCCCGGUGUAGCGGUGAAAUGCGUAGAGAUUGGGAGGAACACCAGUGGCGAAGGCGGGUAACUGGACUGCAACUGACGCUGAGGCGCGAAAGUGUGGGGAGCAAACAGGAUUAGAUACCCUGGUAGUCCACACUGUAAACGAUGAAUGCUAGGUGUAAGAGGUAUCGACCCCUUUUGUGCCGGAGUUAACACAAUAAGCAUUCCGCCUGGGGAGUACGGCCGCAAGGUUGAAACUCAAAUGAAUUGACGGGG
This 397-nucleotide ribosomal RNA is filed under the name uncultured bacterium. RNAcentral's name for it is "partial 16S ribosomal RNA". It matches the Rfam family "Bacterial small subunit ribosomal RNA", at positions 523 to 918 of the family's 1533-position model. The record is from RNAcentral.